Burkholderia glumae BGR1 is the source of this 183-nucleotide small RNA. It matches the Rfam family "RT-15 RNA". Rfam says of the family: Proteobacteria. Nearby to self-splicing intron genes The record is from Rfam. Lineage: Bacteria; Pseudomonadati; Pseudomonadota; Betaproteobacteria; Burkholderiales; Burkholderiaceae.
CGUCGCCCGCUUCGUGGUGGUUAAGGCUGCCAUGACUGAGCGAUCUAUCAAUCUGGUCGUGCCGCUGGCCCACAAGGCCACCGCCAUGCGCAAUGAGGAUACCGACCGCCAGCGUGCGGAGAGGUCCAGCGCAGUUUCCCGGCUGAGCAAUCGGCCGGGCGACGUAGAUAGCACGAUACUUCC